This 153-nucleotide ribosomal RNA is filed under the name uncultured bacterium. Its description in RNAcentral is "partial 16S ribosomal RNA". It matches the Rfam family "Bacterial small subunit ribosomal RNA", at positions 338 to 508 of the family's 1533-position model. The record is from RNAcentral.
CCUACGGGAGGCAGCAGUGGGGAAUAUUGGACAAUGGGCGAAAGCCUGAUCCAGCAAUGCCGCGUGAGUGAUGAAGGCCUUAGGGUUGUAAAGCUCUUUUACCAGGGAUGAUAAUGACAGUACCUGGAGAAUAAGCUCCGGCUAACUCCGUGC